AGUUUUCCAAUGUACUGCCCGCCUUUUAUUUCAAAUUCAUGCUGUUUUUUUUUCUUCAAUUGUUGUUAUUGUUGUUGCAGUGUGUGUGUUUUCAUAUGUGUGCAAGUGCAUGUGUUUAUGUGAAUGGGUGUGUGUGUAUGUGUGCUUACAGGUGUGUCUUUAUGUGUGUGUGCAUGUGUGCUUGUGUUGGGGAUAUGUGUGUAGGACAGAAGCCAACCUGAGCUGCUGUUUCUACAUAACUUUCUACCUUAUUUACCUCUUAUUGGCCUGGAGCCCUCCUUUAUGCCUAAGCUGGGGACAGCCAAGCUCAGAGAUGAUCCUGUCCCUCUGGGACUUGUCCUCAGUGCUAGGAUUACAGGCAUUCACAGUGCCUCACUCAGCAUUCUUAUUCUGACCCUGAGAAUCAAACUGAACUUCUAAUUCCCACUAAACAAUUAUUUUACUGAGAAUCUUUCAGAUCCUUGUUCAGUUGCUUUAAACAGGGGCUAAGUGAUCAACUCUGAGUGCCCUAGACCUGGUCCUCUUGCCAAGGCAUCAGUGGCUUUGGGAUUGCAGGUAUGGGUCACACAGCUACUGACAUUUUAUUCUAAAACUAAAACAUUGUAGACUGUUUUACCACCUCUAUCUCUUCAAUUCCUCCCCCCACCCCAUUUGAUGUUUUGUGAUGCAACUGUGACUGUGAUGGUGUUGUGAGCCCUUAGGAGAAGUCCGACCACAGAGAUUCCAUUAAAAGACAGUUUCCAGCAUGCUUUUUCCAACAGUUAUUAGUACAGUGUGGCUAUUGUCUGUCUUCCACAGUACCAGCUUUCAAAGACUUGUCAACAAAGCUGACAACUCUGAGAACGGUCAACCUUUAGGCAUUGGGACCUGGUGGCAGGCAGCUAGGUUAUUGAGGAAUGUCUUGAAGAAAUAGGACCCUGGCUCUUCCCUCACACUUUUUGCCUCUAGACCACUGGCAGAACAGUUUUAGUUUGCACCACACAUGACAGCCUCAAAGCCAAGGCGCCAGUCAGGACAAAUCAAUAGAACUGUGAAGGAGAGCAGCCAUUUGUAUGUACCUGUGUCGUAUCUCAGAGAGUUUCAGAGUAAAGGAAUGAUUAAGAGCACUGAGAAGGGCCACACCUUUGCAAGACAGUCUGGUGUAAGCUCCGGGAAUACCCAUUUCUCUAAGAAGAUUCCUGCAACACUCACAGCUAAUUGUUUUUUUCUUUAGGAUUCUCUAACAACUCACAGCCUCACUUGGGCAUCUGAGAGAGAGCGUCAUUAUCACCUGGGAUAGAGAAGCAUUGCCUUGAACUUUUUAUUACCUGGAGAUGUUUGCUAUCCUGCCAGUUUUACCUUGCAGGUUCUUCUCUGUGCUUGAUUGGAAAGGAAUGGUCCUGAUAUUGCUACCAGAGUUUCCAGUGCUACCUCAGACCCAAUCAUUUAGUUGACUUCAGUGAUAAGCUUAGGGUCAUGAACUAGGUGAGGUCUUUUAACACUCCUUAGCUUCAUUGGUCUUGAUAGACCAUUUAAGAGGCAAAGUUGGUGUUUGAUACCCCAAGUAAACAGAGGGACUUCCUUGUGAGGGAUCUUUUUAGUGACAAAGGGAAUUCACAUCAUUACCAUGUCAACUCACUAACAAUGAUACAAAAUGAUAGUAUGUAGCAUGUGUACAUCUCAUGUGGGAAGAGCAAAGUUGGCAAUGCACUACACAUGAUCACCAUGGCAUCUUCCCAGAGGAUCUGUGUCCAAUUUCUAGAGGAUCUGCAUUCGGCUCUGCAGAAGAUCUGUGUCCAAUUCCUAGUGUGCACAUGGCAGCUAACAACUUUCUACAACUUCAAUUCCAGGGGUUCUGACCAUGUCUUCUGGACUCCUCAGGUAAUGCAUGUCUAUGGUAUACAGACAUAUAUGCAGGCACAACACUAAUACACACACACACACACACACACACACACACACACUAAAUAAGUAAAUAAAUACUUUUUAAAAUAGUUUAAAGCAGCUAGUUAGGAGGUUGAGCCAAGAGGAUCUCUUGAAUGGCAAAAGUUUAAGGCCAGCCUUGACAACAGAGAUAGACAUAAUGCAAACAUAAGAGGGGAAUGAGGACAAGAAGAAGGGAAGGUAGAAGGAAUCAUCCUGGCAGAGGAAGCCCUGAGUUGAACUGGGGUUGGAUGUUUUCAGCUAAGAUUUAAUCACAUAAUUGAAUCUGUAAGGUCUCCACUGGCUUUCAACAGUUCUCCCUUUGAUCCUUUGUAGUGGAGGAGUAAAAGUGGGUAGUGUGAUUUAUUUUUAAGCUUUUUGCAUCUUCCAAAGACAGUUAUUAUGACCAGAGAGAUUUCUCUUUCCGUGAUGAAAAAUAGAGCACUCCACCCUUUCCCUGCAGUUCAUUGAUCUUGUGUUUAUACUCUGGGACUCAGAGUUCCUGAGGCCCACUCCACAUCUUCAGCUUUCUUUUCUAAGGUGGGAGACUUUAGUAAGAACACUAAGAGGAACCUAUACAAUGCCAACAAGAGGAACAAGAUAUUCUGUAUCUGAUAGCUCAGACUUCUGUUUCUCAUGCAUCUUGGGCUGACCCUGAGUUCACCCUGUAGUCAGGAUGCCCUUAGUCUACUGAUGCCCUGCCUCCUCCUCCGAAAGCUUGGAAUCACGAUGAGCACUUAGGUGCCCUGCUUAACGUUAAGAUUCUUAGAGGGCUCCAGAUAAACCAGCUGUGAACAAGUCAACACCACAAUAACAAUGACACCAACAAUCGUAACCACAAUGGGAAGACAGUGAAGAGGAAGAUAGCAGUGACCCUUGGGAGAGAAGUACCUACCUAACACCUGCAGCUCUUCAUAGCUCGGCCUAAGCCUUUCAACCUCUUUGUUGCAGCUGAGACAGGAGACCCCUAAUUACAAGCCUCCAACUCCUUGCAUGCAAGAACCAAGCAGCAGACAACUACUUGGAGUUAUCCAAUUCCACAGUGGAGAAAGCUUUCUAAUGUAGAAAAUAUGAAAAUUAACACUUACUUAAAAAUGAGACUCUGGAAACCUUGAUGCUGAAUGAAGAAUUAACAUUAAAAUCUUAGUGUUUUCUUGAA
Long non-coding RNA from Mus musculus (house mouse), 3061 nucleotides. RefSeq annotates it as predicted gene, 39136. The transcript is spliced from 2 exons. Lineage: Eukaryota; Metazoa; Chordata; Mammalia; Rodentia; Muridae. The record is from RefSeq and is a predicted model, not a curated record.